CAUCGUUUUUUGAUUAAAUAUUUAAGAUUUAGCCUGCCCAAUGAAAAUUAAAUGGCCGCGGUAUUUUGACCGUGCAAAGGUAGCAUAAUCAUUAGUUUCUUAAUUAGGAGCUGGAAUGAAUGGUUGGACGAGAAAAUGACUGUCUCUAUAUAAUUUGAUAGAAUUUUAUAUUUAAGUUAAAAAGCUUAAAUUUUUUUAAUAGACGAGAAGACCCUAUAGAGUUUUAUUUAUCCUUUAGUUAAAUUUAAUUAGAAUUAAGUUUAUUAAUUAAUGUGUGAAUUUGGUUGGGGUGAUUAAAAAAUAAAAUAAACUUUUUUUAUAUAUUAUUAUUAAUUUAUAUGUAUUUGAUCCAUUUAUUAUGAUUAUAAGAUUAAAUUACCUUAGGGAUAACAGCGUAAUUUUUAUGGAGAGUUCUUAUCAAUAUAAGAGUUUGCGACCUCGAUGUUGGAUUAAAAUUAAUAAUUGGUGGAGAAGCUGAUUAAUUAAGUCUGUUCGACUUUUAAAAUUUUACAUGAUCUGAGU
Molecule: ribosomal RNA, 522 nt
Filed under: Ptilodactylidae sp. UPOL RK0673
Lineage: Eukaryota; Metazoa; Arthropoda; Insecta; Coleoptera; Ptilodactylidae
Description: partial 16S ribosomal RNA
Rfam family: Bacterial large subunit ribosomal RNA
Source: RNAcentral